GACAGAGGCCUCGAGCGUUAGGCGGAAUCACUGGGCUUAAAGCGUGUGUAGGCGGAUCGUUAAGUACCUUGUGAAAUCCCACGGCUCGACCGUGGAACGGCUGGGUAUACUGGCGGUCUUGGGCCAUUCAGGGGCGACUGGAACAAGCGGUGGAGCGGUGAAAUGCGUAGAUAUCGCGUGGAACGCCGAAGGUGAAAACAGGUCGCUGGGGAUGUGCCGACGCUGAGACACGAAAGCCAGGGGAGCAAACGGG
Molecule: ribosomal RNA, 253 nt
Filed under: uncultured bacterium
Lineage: Bacteria
Description: partial 16S ribosomal RNA
Rfam family: Bacterial small subunit ribosomal RNA
Source: RNAcentral